RNAcentral lists this ribosomal RNA (406 nucleotides) under uncultured bacterium. Its description in RNAcentral is "partial 16S ribosomal RNA". It matches the Rfam family "Bacterial small subunit ribosomal RNA", at positions 30 to 526 of the family's 1533-position model. The record is from RNAcentral.
AUUGAACGCUGGCGGCAGGCCUAACACAUGCAAGUCGAACGAGUGGCGGACGGGUGAGUAAUGUCUGGGAAACUGCCUGAUGGAGGGGGAUAACGACUGGAAACGGUAGCUAAUACCGCAUACCAUCAGAGGUGCCCAGAUGGGCUUAGCUAGUUGGUGGGGUAACGGCUCACCAAGGCGACGAUCCCUACCUGGUCUGAGAGGAUGACCAUCCACACUGGACCUGAGACACGGGCCAGACGCCUAGGGGAGGCAGCAGUUGGGAAUAGUGCACAAUGGGCGCAAGCCUGAUGCAGCCAUGCCGCGUGUAUGAAGAAGGCUUUCGGGUUUUAAAGUACUUUCAGCGGGGAGGCGUUACCCGCAGAAGAAGCACCGGCUAACUCCGUUCCAGCAGCCGCGGUAAUUC